Long non-coding RNA from Acinonyx jubatus (cheetah), 6474 nucleotides. RefSeq lists it as uncharacterized. Lineage: Eukaryota; Metazoa; Chordata; Mammalia; Carnivora; Felidae. The record is from RefSeq and is a predicted model, not a curated record. The transcript has 4 exons.
CCCCAAGGCCAGUCCCUUGGCUGGGCUGGGUGUGUGUGGUCCUCGGAAUGCAUCUGUCCACCACACAUAUAUUCCUAAUAAAGGGCUCGUUUGGCUUGUCACAUCCAUGCAGAAGGGCAAUGAAGUCUACACCUAGAAAGUAAAUGUGUUAUGUGGCCCUUCCUCUUCCAGAGGUUGAGGGUGGACAGGGCAGUGUCUACGGGGUACUCACCAUGAGUCUUGCCCUUCACUUACUUUAAACCAUCUGCUUCUCACACAUGUCCUGGGAGGCAGGUAACGUUUCCCAUUCCCAGGUAAGAAAAUGGAGGUUGAGAGAAGUUGUGCACGUUGCUCAAGAGCUCACAGCUUAUGUGGAGGCAGAGGCCCUUCUUGAACCCAGAUCCACUGCCUGAACAAUCCCAUAUUCCUGCCCUCACACACCUUUUCCACGGAGAGGCUCCUUGCUCUCGGUUCAUAAUAGGACAGUUGCACAAGUUAUUGACCAAAAUUAGUUGGAAAUUUUGAAAUUGGAUCUAGGUCACUCACUGAAGGCUGAUUUGUCUCUUCAAAGAAAGGGGCCAGUGUCUCCAGUGUGACUUUGAGUCAUAUAGGUCAUAAGCUGACUCACAGUUACAGGGCCCUCUCCCAGGUGUUUCUGAGAAAAGAGCUUCCAGAGCAGAAGUUGCUUUGCAGACCCAUCAGAGCUCAGGGAGCAUCAGCAAUGAGAUGGAGGCAGACUAGAUAUUUCCUGGGGGUAGGGGCAAGAGAGAGAAGAGGUGGUCUGGGGGGAUACCAGGAUAUUUCAUGGCAGGGGCUAAGAUGCCUGCUGCUUCUCCAUUGUUCUAGGGCAUCAUCAUUGCCACCUAGCUGGAAUUUUGUCCAAAGUCAACUGCAUUCUGGGAAAAGAACUUGCAAAAUCCCUCUCAGAAGGAGGCUUGGAGCCUCCUCCAGUCCGGUCUGUAACUUGCUUUAGAAACCAUCCUCCUGGGCCCCCAGGUGUGCCUUCUGCUCCUGGACGUUUGACCAGGCCUCAGUUCUUUGGAUAGAUUAGUAGUUCAUCUGAGCCUAUAGUGGGUUAAAAGCCAAAUUUUCUGCAUUGCAUCUUCCCCUGAGCAGCAGCUAUGGUGUUAAGGAACCCUCUUCUUGGCUGAAUUAAGUCCUUCAAGACAUGUGGCCAUUCAACUCUAUACACUCUACAGAGUAGGAUAAUAUUAUGGCCGUUUCUUUGAGUAAUCGUCUGAAUUUGUAAACUGUAGGCACUGAUCCAAUAGUGGGGCAUGCCCAGCACUAAUAAAAUAAAAUAAGGUAGAAGGUAUUAGAAUCAGGAAGCAUCACAUGCAGGAUGAGCAAGUUUGUUUCAUGAACCUUCUAUUUCAGUUGCAUGGGUGAGUGUGUGUGUGUGUGUGUGUGUAUCCAGGGUGUGUCAGAGGUGGCUGACUGGCUGCCAGAUCUGUGCUCCCCUCUCGGAGAAUACGUGUGUCCCGAGGGAGGGGGUGGGCUCCUGGAGUGACCAUCUCCAGACCCUUGCUCUAGGCAGGGCCCCUGGGUGACUUGCCCUCACUAAUGGAAUGUGAUUGAAAGUGACAUUUUACUUCUGGGUCAGGGUGGCUGGGUUCCUGAAUCACUUUGUGAAUUCAGGAUUCACCCACAAAGCAGGAAACAGUGCACUGAAAUUAUGUGAGUGAGAAAUGAACUUUUCUCGUGUUAAGCCAUUGACAUCUUGGGAUGUGAGUUACAGCACUUGAGGUUGUCCUAUGUAGUACGUGUAAAAUGUUUGUCUUAACGUGGGUUAUGGUCAGAAAAGUUUGAAAAAAGGACCUGAUCUAAUGUAACCCUUUCAUUUUCCGAUGGAGAAGCCAAGUGUCAGGAACUGGGAGGGGCUCCCCAUGUCUUCUGAAUGAGCUGGGACCAAACCCUGCCUAAGCAGGAGGAUGACUGCUGUGUGGCCUGGGUGGGCUUUGUGUACUGCUGGACAGGGCAGAGCUGACUGCUGGGCUGCUGACUCCUGGGACAGUGCUCCUCCCACACGCUCAGGGGCACGGAUCUGACAUUUACACUGUGCUUUGGGGCCUCUGCCCACAGCUGGGGACAGGAAGGGUGAACUCUGCCUGGCCUGCUGAACUAACUCUCACCUGGCUUCUGCUCAGGCUCUGUGGUUAACAUCUCUGCGGCGUACCAACAGACUUUCUCUGAAAAUCUAAGUUUCUCUGAAUCUCUGAGGUGGCAGGAUUCUGAGAAACCUGGCAGCGGCCUGGUCACCGCCAUGAGAGCACUAGCUGAAUUAUAAGCACAUAUGCCCAGGAACGACACCUCCAUUUUUAACACACAGUGAGUUCGGGCCCUGGUGCUGAUGCUGACACCGGCAGGUAGGAGCCUUCAGCCAUCACGUUCAUGCAUCCCACAGACUGGCAGAGCCUGUCACCCAGGUGCUGAGGCCACCCUGGAUCAGCGGGGGAGGGCACAAGGCUUGUGCUGUCCCCAUCACCUAGCCCCGUGACGUUAUGGUAAGAGUUAAUCAUGCAAGUGCUCAGUACCUGGGCACAGUACCUGACACUUCGCUGACCUGAUUGUAUUUGCAGCACCCCUGUCAUGUGGACAAGCUUGGCAUUCUCCCCAUCAUAUUACAGAUAAGGAAAUGGAGGCUCUCAGAGCUCACCUGUCAGACUCAAAGAACCUUCUUCACUGGCUGGACAUGGGCUGGAGCCCUGGCAUCUUGAAAAAGCAAUGCAUUGAAUAAGAAGGCUUUGCCUGUCUCCCGCGCUGGACCCCGAGCUCCCUGAAGACAGGGGUCUUGUCUAUCUUGUUCACUGUGCGUCUCCAGCUCCUAGAACACAUGUCAACUGGGACCGAAGGAUCCGCUUCCAAGACGGCUCACUCUAAGUCAGCCGCUGGCUGUUGGUUUCACACAGGCCUCUCCGCAGGGCUGCUUGGGUUUUCUUGCCGCGUGAUGACUGGGUUCUAAGAACACUCGCUCUUGGAACUGAGGCACCAUGCUGCAAGGAAGCCCAGGCCACGUGAAGAGGCCACUUUGGGGAUCCCCGCAGAUAGCCCAUGAUCCUGGCAUCAACUGUCAGGCGUCUAAGUGAGCCAAUUCAGAGGACCCCGGCCCCCAGCCUUCGAGUCUUCCAUCAGAGGCACCAGUGACAAACCAUCCUCACCACGUUCUGUCUGCAUUCCGGACCCACACGACCCAUGGGCAUGAUAAAUGGUUACUUAAUGCCAACUUUUGAGUGAUUUGUUGGGUAGCCAUAGUAACUGGCACAGAGGGCAAAGUGAAAUAUAACGAGACCUCCAGAAAGCAGUUCCACGGGCAGGAGGAGUCUGGUGGAAACUCACCAGAACGGUCCGGCCAUUGAAGCUGGCUUCCACCAGCUAUAAACUGGGGAGCAAGGGAAGGUGUUUUGGACAGUGAAAAGGGCAUAUGUGAGGCCUUGAGCCAGGAAGGGGCCUAGCAGGAAGAAGGUUAGUGGGCUAGCACACAGCCCUGUGGGGACAGGGUAGGUGGUACAAGGGGCCACCCUUCAUCCUGGGCACUUGGAGGAGAGCCCUGGGUCAGAUCCGCUUCCAGGUAAGGAGGGGGGACGGUAAGUCAGAGGAACAAGGCCCAGCGAGUGAGAACGAGGCCUCGAGGCCUCUGCUGUGCAGGUGCAUGGUUAAGAGGGCCUGCCCAAGCUGUGGGAUGGGAGGCUGUGCGGGAACCAGACCCUCCUGACCGGAUGGAUGCGAGGCUAGGACCAGAAGCUGAGGUGGCAGGAGGUGGGGAUCCCCAUGCUGAGGGACAAGGGGAAGGGCAGCGUACGAUGCUCUUCUUUCGACAGCAUGCCUUUGUUAGCUGUCCUUCCUCUGGGAAGAUCCCCUGGGGAUGUGACAUCUACUGCAGUCCCUUUCCCCCUUCAUUUACACCUUGUGACGAAACUCUUUAUCCCUCUGAGACAGACAGACACAGGAGAGUGUGGCUGCUUCCUCAACAAUGGCUGCCGUGAGCUCAGGCCUCAGGUGUCUGCUGGGGUCCCCCAGCUGGGUACGCUUUCUGGCCAGAACUGCUGCGAAAGCGUCAAGCCUACAUUACAGCACAUGCCUGGGGGAAACGCAUCCUGCUUGGUGGCUGUCUGUGCACCCUCCUCCCCGGACCCUAGCUCUUGGCGGGGACUUGCAGGGAAUAGAGUGUCCCUGCCUCGCCGCAGGAGGAGGAUGGCAGGCUGGGCCUAGGUCACUGGUCUCACCUCUGAACCUUCCGGAGCCUCUCCGGCCAGAGGACUUCCCUGGGCUCUCUCGGUACCGAAACCUUUUCUGGCGUUCCUGGCAGCCACGUGUCUCUUCCCUCCUUUCCCGGCAACCCGUGCAUCCUGGCGUCCAAGCAGCCUGAUGCUUUGAGGGUGUUGUGUGGAGCCUGCUGAAGGAACAAGUGGCCGAGGCCGAAUGCAUGCUCAGGGUCCACGCAUCUACCAUCUGUGCCUCCCGGGCCCUUCACCUUUCUGUGGGAAGGGUCCUUUCUCGCCACAGAUGCGCCUCCCAGAGUGCACAAAUUUCUUGUGACACACACACACCCUUAAGAGGUCAAGAAUGUGGCCUGACAGAGACAAGUUACAAAAUAAAAACAAAGCUGUCGGUGGUCCCCCUAAUGGUGCAUUUCGGGGAGGAGCUGGGGACUUGGUGGAGCAGUCCGAGGGUGCCUCGGCCCUGGGUGGGACUGGUGACUCCUCUGCACAGCUGUCUGUGAGGCCAGAGGACCCCCCUUGACCACCUGCAACCCGUUCCCACUUACCCAUCACCCUGGCUGCAGGGGAGGCAGGGACAAGGCUUCUGCCUGUAGAAGGGGUCCUGGGAGGAGGAUGUGUUGUUAGUGCGAUUCCCCGAUUCCCCGGGGCUGGCCCUGAGAGAAGAUUGAAGAGUGGCUUAAGUGGGAGGAGCAAAAUGCCAAGGAGGAGUGGGGAAGGGAGUCAGGAGGGGAAGGCACUCAGCACCUGGACUCAACCCUGCAGGGAAGCCUCCCUCCCCCGCCAGCCUGCACUCACCGCUCCUCAGCCAGAGCAGAGCCCCUCCCGGGAGAUGGGGCCCCAAAGCUCUCAGGCACAGAUGUAGGUAGUGCAGGAGGAUGAGCCAGCUGCCCGGAAGUGGUCUUCCCAGAGGAUACGGGUGAAGCCCCCAUCAUACCUGCCCCACAGGGUCCCUGCUCCCGGCGGCCAGCGAGGGAUGCCAGCGUGCGUGGCUGUCACUGGUCACCAUCACCAGCACGAGCCACCUGAGAAGUGUGCCGGACCCUCCAACUUUUUCAUGGCAGAACCUGUGGAUAAUAAAGUUGCUUGGGGGAAUGGGUUGUGACCCAUGGGAGGGAAAGUCCCUUGCUGGCUGGGCCUGGGACAGAGACCUAGGCCAGGGAUGGGCCCACGCACAAAUCCUGGCAGUGGCACAAAGGUAUCACUGGCCUCAUGGCUCUACCUAAGUUAAAAGGAUCCCCCUUACCUUUCCUAGUUUGUCAGUUAAGACUUGGGGGAGCCCUCCCCACUGUGGCCCUGCAUCAAACCCUGUGUUAGGUGGGCAUAAGUGAGGCUACCAGGGCAAACCUGGUGUGGAGGGGAGACAGUGCAGAGGGGAGGGCAAGCCGUUGGGGCCACACCCCUAAAUGACUUCUUGGAGCAGCGGGCCUAGCAGGGCCCAAAUUGGGGAAGAAGGGACUGGCACGGUUAGGCGUGAGCCCUAGGGAAGUGCCUCAUGCAGUGACAUGGGUGAGGCUGGGCUGGGGGCCCUGCUGGCCAUGUCCUGGACUGGUGUCCUGUGACUCAGGCCUGCUCAGCAUCUUGCCCUGGUCCCCCACCCAGAACAAGUCAAGCUACAUUCUCAGUUUCACAUUAGUCUUUUAUUAUAACUGUAUUUAAUGGGAUCACUUUGCCAAAAGGAGAAGUCAUUUCUUAAAUCAGUAUGAGUUACAGCGUAAAGAUGAAUGAGAACAAAGCAAUAGGAUAUAAAUGGCACAACAGGAUAUUCCAUAAGUCAAAUGAAUUGUGCCAUCAUGAGACAAAUUAUUAUGACAACUUUUACAUCAAAGUGGUCUCAAGCCUGUUUACAGGAACUUUAGAUUUCUUUUCAACACUAUAAAAAGAGAGCUUUUGAAAGUAACAUGGGGGGUGGGGUGGGGAAGCGGUUUUGGCCCGUGAGAAGGAAGCUCGGCUUGCCAGGUGCCGUCCUUAAUUCAUCCCGGCCUCCUCUCCCUGUCCCACGGCCCCCCAGAGCCCCUGUUCUGUACACAUGGGGGCGGGAACCGGUGUGCACCUGCAGGGGAGGGGGAUGGAAUGAUGGCAUGGCCUGGCCUCCACAGGACAGCCACUGGGAGGGCCUGCAUCGCCCCUCACCCUGCUCCCCGCAACACUGGUUCUGUAACAGCCCCCGGAGGCAACUUCUUAAGGAAACAAUAAAAUGAAAACAAAAAUAGUAAAUUUAAGUCACCUCUGGCAGAUUACCUAUCUUUAGGAGACAACGUAACUGCCACUGAGUUUU